RNAcentral lists this ribosomal RNA (433 nucleotides) under uncultured bacterium. Its description in RNAcentral is "partial 16S ribosomal RNA". It matches the Rfam family "Bacterial small subunit ribosomal RNA", at positions 29 to 507 of the family's 1533-position model. The record is from RNAcentral.
AACGAACGCUGGCGGCAUGCCUAACACAUGCAAGUCGAACGAGACCUUCGGGUCUAGUGGCGCACGGGUGCGUAACGCGUGGGAACCUGCCCUUAGGUUCGGAAUAACUCCCCGUAGGGGGUGCUAAUACCGGUUAAUGUAUUCGGACCAAAGAUUUAUCGCCUUUGGAUGGGCCCGCGUUGGAUUAGCUAGUUGGUAGGGUAAAAGCCUACCAAGGCGACGAUCCAUAGCUGGUCUGAGAGGAUGAUCAGCCACACUGGAACUGAGACACGGCCCAGACUCCUACGGAGGGCAGCAGUGGGGAAUAUUGGGCAAUGGGCGAAAGCCUGAUCCAGCAAUGCCGCGGGAGUGAUGAAGGCCUUAGGGUUGUAAAGCUCUUUUACCCGGGAUGAUAAUGACAGUACCGGGUAAAUAAGCACCGGCUAACUCCGUG